RNAcentral lists this transfer RNA (93 nucleotides) under Vitis vinifera (wine grape). It matches the Rfam family "tRNA". From Rfam's summary of the family: Transfer RNA (tRNA) molecules are approximately 80 nucleotides in length. The record is from Rfam by way of RNAcentral. Lineage: Eukaryota; Viridiplantae; Streptophyta; Magnoliopsida; Vitales; Vitaceae.
CCGACCUUAGCUCAGUUGGUAGAGCGGAGGACUGUAGUGGGUGUAGAUCCAACGGUAAUCCUUAGGUCGCUGGUUCGAAUCCGGCAGGUCGGA